This is a long non-coding RNA of Culex pipiens pallens (northern house mosquito), 503 nucleotides long. RefSeq lists it as uncharacterized. The transcript has 3 exons. The record is from RefSeq and is a predicted model, not a curated record. Lineage: Eukaryota; Metazoa; Arthropoda; Insecta; Diptera; Culicidae.
AAUUCUAAUGAAGCGCCAUCAACUCAACAGCCUGAGCUUGGGCUGAAAUGCCGGCAAACACUGGUCGGAGUGAUUUGUGUACUGACUGUGAUUAUUUUUGUUCUUUUCGGACUGGUGAUCAAACUGUGGUGUUCUGGACAAGUGUUACCUCAAACAGAACAGCAAAAUGCCAGUAUUGAAACAAAUACUAACAAUACUCGCAUGCAAUUGAAAUGGGAAACUCUACAAAGAACAUGUGAAAUAAAUUCAUCUGAGUUCCUUGAAAUGAGUUGUUCGAUCGAAUAUUCAGAGAAGAGAAACAUAACUGUGGCAUGUCAAAAACAGCCAACCAAGCUUACUCUGGCAAAACUGCAAGGCUAUUGCUGUGCUCAAAGUCAAUUUCGAUCGAACAAUGUGAAUGAUUCGUGGCUUGCUCAACUAAUAGAUUCCAGCGGAAAUAUCGUCUGCGAUGGAACUCUUAUAUCGGACUGGCAUGUCCUGACUUCAGCACAUUGCGCAUUGAA